UCCUUGGUGUCUCAGAUGGUAAAGAAUCUGCCUGCAAUGUGGGAGACCUGGGUUCGAUCCCUGGUUUGGGAA
Molecule: transfer RNA, 72 nt
Filed under: Ovis aries (sheep)
Lineage: Eukaryota; Metazoa; Chordata; Mammalia; Artiodactyla; Bovidae
Rfam family: tRNA
About the family: Transfer RNA (tRNA) molecules are approximately 80 nucleotides in length.
Source: Rfam by way of RNAcentral